CAUCCGAGGAGCGUUGCAGCGUCCCCAGCAUUGGCGGGGCGUGAGGCUCGGAGUCAUCAAGCAACGACGCUCAUCCACU
Molecule: non-coding RNA, 79 nt
Organism: Burkholderiales bacterium
Lineage: Bacteria; Pseudomonadati; Pseudomonadota; Betaproteobacteria; Burkholderiales
Source: Rfam